AGCUUGCUCCCGGAUGUUAGCGGCGGACGGGUGAGUAACACGUGGGUAACCUGCCUGUAAGACUGGGAUAACUCCGGGAAACCGGAGCUAAUACCGGAUAGUUCCUUGAACCGCAUGGUUCAAGGAUGAAAGACGGUUUCGGCUGUCACUUACAGAUGGACCCGCGGCGCAUUAGCUAGUUGGUGGGGUAAUGGCUCACCAAGGCGACGAUGCGUAGCCGACCUGAGAGGGUGAUCGGCCACACUGGGACUGAGACACGGCCCAGACUCCUACGGGAGGCAGCAGUAGGGAAUCUUCCGCAAUGGACGAAAGUCUGACGGAGCAACGCCGCGUGAGUGAUGAAGGUUUUCGGAUCGUAAAGCUCUGUUGUUAGGGAAGAACAAGUGCGAGAGUAACUGCUCGCACCUUGACGGUACCUAACCAGAAAGCCACGGCUAACUACGUGCCAGCAGCCGCGGUAAUACGUAGGUGGCAAGCGUUGUCCGGAAUUAUUGGGCGUAAAGGGCUCGCAGGCGGUUUCUUAAGUCUGAUGUGAAAGCCCCCGGCUCAACCGGGGAGGGUCAUUGGAAACUGGGAAACUUGAGUGCAGAAGAGGAGAGUGGAAUUCCACGUGUAGCGGUGAAAUGCGUAGAGAUGUGGAGGAACACCAGUGGCGAAGGCGACUCUCUCGUCUGUAACUGACGCUGAGGAGCGAAAGCGUGGGGAGCGAACACGAUUAGAUACCCU
This 726-nucleotide ribosomal RNA is filed under the name Bacillus sp. (in: firmicutes). RNAcentral's name for it is "bacterial SSU rRNA". It matches the Rfam family "Bacterial small subunit ribosomal RNA", at positions 77 to 788 of the family's 1533-position model. Lineage: Bacteria; Bacillati; Bacillota; Bacilli; Caryophanales; Bacillaceae. The record is from RNAcentral.